CUCUUUCUCGAUUCAGUGGAUGGUGGUGCAUGGCCGUUCUUAGUUGGUGGAGUGAUCUGUCUGGUUAAUUCCGAUAACGAACGAGACUCUCCCCUGCUAACUAGUCGGUUGGAUCUUGAUCAGUGGGUUGAGUGCCGAGUAACUCUCGCUGUGCGUGGUGUGCGUCUCGUUCCUUACGGUUCGUUGCGUGCUCAUGUGUGGCGUUGGAUGCCUUGGAUCACACUGCACCCCAAGUCCGCCGCUUUGCUAUAACUCUUCUUAGAGGGAUUCACGGCACUGAAGCCGUAAGAGACUGAGAGCAAUAACAGGUCUGUGAUGCCCUUAGAUGCUCUGGGCCGCACGCGCGCUACAAUGCCGGGCACAGCAGGUGUUUCUCCUGCUCCGACAGGAGCGGGUAACCCUCUGAAAGCCAGUGUUCUUGCAAGUGCUUCCUCCCUCGUGGAGUUGCACAGAGGCGUGCUUGGGCCUGGGACUUGCAAUUCUUUCCCACCAACGAGGAAUGCCUAGUAGCGGCGGGUCACUGAGCCCGCUGUGACUCAGUCCCUGCCCUUUGUACACACCGCCCGUCGCUACUACCGAUUGGGUGUACCAGUGAGAGCCUUGGACUGGCGUCCGUUGUUGCUCGCAAGAGUGACAAGCGGGUCCGACGGAAAGAGGUCCGAACUGGUGCACUUAGAGGAAGUAAAAGUCGUAACAAGGUUUCCGUAGGUGAACCUGCGGA
RNAcentral lists this ribosomal RNA (721 nucleotides) under Brandtia latissima lata. RNAcentral's name for it is "bacterial SSU rRNA". It matches the Rfam family "Eukaryotic small subunit ribosomal RNA", at positions 1255 to 1821 of the family's 1831-position model. The record is from RNAcentral. Lineage: Eukaryota; Metazoa; Arthropoda; Malacostraca; Amphipoda; Acanthogammaridae.